RNAcentral lists this ribosomal RNA (240 nucleotides) under uncultured Lactobacillus sp. RNAcentral's name for it is "partial 16S ribosomal RNA". It matches the Rfam family "Bacterial small subunit ribosomal RNA", at positions 122 to 354 of the family's 1533-position model. The record is from RNAcentral. Lineage: Bacteria; Bacillati; Bacillota; Bacilli; Lactobacillales; Lactobacillaceae.
UAACCUGCCCAAGAGAUCGGGAUAACACCUGGAAACAGAUGCUAAUACCGAAUAACAACAGAUGAUGCCUAUCAACUGUUUAAAAGAUGGUUCUGAUAUCACUCUUGGAUGGACCUGCGGUGCAUUAGCUAGUUGGUAGGGUAACGGCCUACCAAGGCGAUGAUGCAUAGCCGAGUUGAGAGACUGAUCGGCCACAUUGGGACUGAGACACGGCCCAAACUCCUACGGGAGGCAGCAGGC